GAGGUCCUUCGCAUCCCUUGUUAGUUGUAUUCCUAGGUAUUUGUUUUACUUGUUUUUAGAGCUUUACAUUUUUGCUUGGAAUAAUGGACCUUGGAGAACAGCAGCUUGAAUUACAUUUUGUACUUUUAUUUGUUGAGCUGAUAACCGCUGUUUUAUGAUGAAUUUUUAGCCUGAAACAAUGCCUCCCUGAGCUUGGCAAUCCCCAAGUCAUUGGUACUUGACUUACUACUUGAGUCAAGUACCAAUGACUUACUACUUGACCUGAUUGCUUACUACUUGACCUGAUUGCGUGGUUUUUUUUGUUUUUUUACUUUUUGGUUUUUGGGAGGUUUGCCAUUCCCUCUUCGCAAUGAUGAUUACCUUGGUUUGCUUUGUGUUUGAGCGCCUGCUGCGGCGGGUAUCACAUUGGGGUCACCACCUGAGAUGUCCGCUACCUGCGGAGGGUUGGCCUUGCAGACUUUGACUUAAUGAUGGAUGAAUGAAUGUACUUUUACACCACUGUAGUGAUUAAAGUGGGCUAGGGAUGGUUGUUGGCUGCUUUUAGAGGGCAAAAUGCAACCAAUCGACCCAGACUCCUCUACAUACUUUUAUUUAUUAUUAAUUGUAUAACAGGUUUUAAGUUAACACACUUGUGAGUAAUUAACAUGGUUAAAAGAGUGGUUUUAUGAAUGAUAAAAGCCUUAAGUUUGGGGCCCAGAAUAAACACCUUCGUGGUUAAUUUACCUUUGAUUUCUCCCUAAGAGGACCAUUCAGCACAAAGUUUAUAUGAGUAAACAGAGCAGAGACAAAGGGAUGUGGGGUAAACAGACUUAAACUGGAAAAGCUUUUUAUCAUCCCCAUUUCUUCCCUAACAUAAUGGACAGGCUGCCUCUAACCUGUCCCAAUAAAACCUUUUGGCCUUCUAAAAGGUUUGAGACUAUAAUUUAUAACUUUCCAAAUAUUUGAUGCAAUAUUUUGCCAGCCACUCCAGCCUGGGCAACAGAGCGAGAUUCUGUCUCAAAAAUAUAAUAAAUUAAUUAACCCUAUCCCAUUUCUGAACUCCUUUAUCCCACUUUUUUCAUUUUGCUUGUCACCUGCUAAUAUCCUAUACUUCAUUUCUUAUGUUUGUUAUAAUGUCUCUUUUCUUUCCAUUAGAAUUUAGGCUCUAAGAGGGCAGAGGCUGUUGGUGUAUUUUGUUCACAGAUGAUUCCCAAGCCUCUAGAACAGUGCUCAGUACAGAGUAGCUGCUCAGUAAAUAUCUGUUGAAUAAGUGACAUAGCAGAACAGUUUUCAAAUGUGGGUGUCUUCAGUUCACACAGCCCUUAAAUGUGCUCCCUCCCUCAGUGAUCCCAGAAGCCCAUCACCCCAUCCACCCGCACACAGACACUGAAGACUGGACAUGGUCAGGAGAGUGAGAUGCCAGAAACUCCACCAUUAAAGAACUGCUCUUUG
Long non-coding RNA from Sapajus apella (tufted capuchin), 1431 nucleotides. RefSeq lists it as uncharacterized. The transcript has 2 exons. NCBI's taxonomy places the organism in Eukaryota, Metazoa, Chordata, Mammalia, Primates, Cebidae. The record is from RefSeq and is a predicted model, not a curated record.